CCUACGGGAGGCUGCAGUGGGGAAUAUUGGGCAAUGGGCGAAAGCCUGACCCAGCAACGCCGCGUGAAGGAAGAAGGCUUUCGGGUUGUAAACUUCUUUUGACAGGGAAGAGCAGAAGACGGUACCUGUCGAAUAAGCCACGGCUAACUACGUGCCAGCAGCCGCUGUAAGACGUAGGUGGCAAGCGUUGUCCGGAUUUACUGGGUGUAAAGGGCGUGUAGCCGGGCUGACAAGUCAGAUGUGAAAGCCGGGGGCUCAACCCCCGAACUGCAUUUGAAACUGUUGGUCUUGAGUAUCGGAGAGGCAGGCGGAAUUCCUAGUGUAGCGGUGAAAUGCGUAGAUAUUAGGAGGAACACCAGUGGCGAAGGCGGCUUACUGGACUGUAACUGACGUUGAGGCUCGAAAGCGUGGGGAGCAAACAGGAUUAGAUACCCCUGUAGUC
RNAcentral lists this ribosomal RNA (442 nucleotides) under uncultured bacterium. RNAcentral's name for it is "partial 16S ribosomal RNA". It matches the Rfam family "Bacterial small subunit ribosomal RNA", at positions 338 to 795 of the family's 1533-position model. The record is from RNAcentral.